This is a long non-coding RNA of Mesocricetus auratus (golden hamster), 657 nucleotides long. RefSeq lists it as uncharacterized. Lineage: Eukaryota; Metazoa; Chordata; Mammalia; Rodentia; Cricetidae. The record is from RefSeq and is a predicted model, not a curated record. The transcript has 4 exons.
GUCACCUUUACCUCAUUAGCUUCCCAGCAGAAAAGAGAGGAUGCUCGCAUCUGAACCCCCACAGGUCCAUUGAGUGGCUUCAGCUCCUGGCCUGGCCUCUGAAUGGUAAUGUGGACUCGGGGCUGACCAACAUGAGCACUUCCUGCCUGCCACCAUCUCAGCCUUCCCCACUUUUACCCAUCAUCUGGAAAUAAGAAGCUAGUGUCUUCGACCGUCUCACACCCUUGGGACUUAGUUCAAAGACAGGAUCCCGGAGAGAAAUAGGUGGGGUGUCUAAUGUUGGCUACAGACAUUGAGAUGGCUCCCCUAUGUCUCCCACUCACCCUGGAGCUCACUGAUUGGCUAGAUCGUGCAAGCCCCAAGGAUGGAUCCCUUUGAUUCUAUCCCCACCCUCACCCCAACUGGGGUUCCAGACGCACACCUCUGUACCAUGUUUUAUGUAAAUCCUGGGGAUCCUAACUCGGGCCCUCCUGCUUGGUACAACGUGCACUUUACAUCUGAGCCAUCCCCCCAAUCUUUUGUUUCCUUUCCUUUAAGUGAGAGUCUCAAGUGAGCAACUCUGCUGUUUGAUGGACAGCUAUCUGACCCCUCCCCAUCCCCAGUCUCCAGUUCCACAGCAGCUGCUUGCUUGGGAAUAAAAGCUACAGUGGAGACCUG